GUCGCGAUGCCAGAGUGGUUAAUGGGUAAGACUUGAAUGCUCCCGCAUUUAGUCAUCUUAUGGUUUCGUAAGUUUAAAGUUCUGUCGCAGCUUUCUGAGCUCCUUCUAACAAAGACAGGGCCUCGUAGGUUCAAAUCCUGCUCGCGACG
This is a transfer RNA of 149 nucleotides. It matches the Rfam family "tRNA". Rfam says of the family: Transfer RNA (tRNA) molecules are approximately 80 nucleotides in length. The record is from Rfam.